AGUGAACGCUGGCGGUAGGCCUAACACAUGCAAGUCGAACGGCAGCACAGUAAGAGCUUGCUCUUACGGGUUGCGAGUGGCGGACGGGUGCGGAAUACAUCGGAAUCUACUUUUUCGUGGGGGAUAACGUAGGGAAACUUACGCUAAUACCGCAUACGACCUACGGGUGAAAGCAGGGGAUCUUCGGACCUUGCGCGAUUGUAUGAGCCGAUGUCGGAUUAGCUUGUUGGCGGGGUAAAGGCCCACCAAGGCGACGAUCCGUAGCUGGACUGAGAGGUAGAGAAGCGAAACUGGAACUAAGACACGGGCCAGACUCCUACGGGAGGAAGCAGUGGGGAAUAUUGGACAAUGGUCGCAAGCCUCAUCCAGCGAUACCGCGUAGGGGAAGAAGGCCUUCGGGUUGUAAAGCCCUUUUGUUGGGAAAGAAAAGCAGCAGGUUAAUACCCCGCUGUUCUGACGGUACCCAAAGAAUAAGCACCGGCUAACUUCGUG
This 492-nucleotide ribosomal RNA is filed under the name uncultured bacterium. RNAcentral's name for it is "partial 16S ribosomal RNA". It matches the Rfam family "Bacterial small subunit ribosomal RNA", at positions 29 to 507 of the family's 1533-position model. The record is from RNAcentral.